RNAcentral lists this ribosomal RNA (366 nucleotides) under uncultured bacterium. RNAcentral describes it as "bacterial SSU rRNA". It matches the Rfam family "Bacterial small subunit ribosomal RNA", at positions 29 to 419 of the family's 1533-position model. The record is from RNAcentral.
AGCGAACGCUGGCGGCAGGCUUAACACAUGCAAGUCGAACGGGCGUAGCAAUACGUCAGUGGCAGACGGGUGAGUAACGCGUGGGAACGUACCUUUUGGUUCGGAACAACCCAGGGAAACUUGGGCUAAUACCGGAUAAGCCCUUACGGGGAAAGAUUUAUCGCCGAAAGAUCGGCCCGCGUCUGAUUAGCUAGUUGGUGUGGUAACGGCGCACCAAGGCGACGAUCAGUAGCUGGUCUGAGAGGAUGGCCAGCCACAUUGGGACUGAGAGACGGCCCAGGCUCCUACGGGAGGCAGCAGUGGGGAAUCUUGCGCAAUGGCCGAAAGGCUGACGCAGCGACGCCGCGUGGGGGAGUGAAGCAUUUC